Hemicordylus capensis (graceful crag lizard) is the source of this 804-nucleotide long non-coding RNA. RefSeq lists it as uncharacterized. Lineage: Eukaryota; Metazoa; Chordata; Lepidosauria; Squamata; Cordylidae. The record is from RefSeq and is a predicted model, not a curated record. The transcript has 3 exons.
GAAAGAUGCUUGGCCUAGAAACAAGGCCUCAGUCAUACACUGUAUUAUGUUCCCAAGAAUGGAAAAUAGUCCCCGAAGAGUUGAGGAGAUGGUUUGUGGUUUCUGGAGGAGGAAAUUUGAUGCAGAGUUAAUGUCAUGCAAAGAAUGGACCGUGAGUCUACGAGACCUUGGUUUGAAUCACAGCUCAGCUAUGUACUCCCCAGGUAACAUCUCCAGCACAGAGAGAGGGAGGAGGAGACAGGGAAGGAAAGAUGAAGAUAUGGAAGGCACAGAUAUCUCAUCCCUGAGAUUGCCCCAGUUCAUGUGUCCAUGCACAUACACCUGGUAGGAAGAGGAGGGAAAGGGACUCUAUAGCUAUCCUUCCACAUGCAAAUACUGCAGCUGCAUAGAGAGAAAGAUCAUGUCCUGAGUAUUAGCAUGAUUAAUUUUCUAAUAUGUAUUGACUUUUUCCCUCUCUUUGAGAAAUCCUGUCUUUUUCAAGUGUUUUUGAAGAGAGCUCAAAAAAUAAAUAAAUCUAGAAUGGGUUUUUGAAAGUAAAUUCUUACUUAACUGUUAUUCAAGAAGAACAUUAUAUUGACAUUAGUGUGCAGGUUUCUUUUUUCUUUUCUUUUUCUUUCCUUUAAAAAAAAACAACACAAAAUAAUAAUCCCACCCACACUCCCAAAAAGAUAGCGAGUAACAUCAUGACCAUAUAGCACUAGUGAAUGAUUAAAAAUUUAGAUGGCUGCCUUUGAAACAAUAAAAAAGCUUUGGAAGCUCCUUAAUGAGCAGCUAUCAGAAAUAAAGCAUUUAAAACUUCAGAAA